RNAcentral lists this ribosomal RNA (465 nucleotides) under Vreelandella stevensii. RNAcentral's name for it is "partial 16S ribosomal RNA". It matches the Rfam family "Bacterial small subunit ribosomal RNA", at positions 338 to 795 of the family's 1533-position model. The record is from RNAcentral. Lineage: Bacteria; Pseudomonadati; Pseudomonadota; Gammaproteobacteria; Oceanospirillales; Halomonadaceae.
CCUACGGGGGGCUGCAGUGGGGAAUAUUGGACAAUGGGGGGAACCCUGAUCCAGCCAUGCCGCGUGUGUGAAGAAGGCCCUCGGGUUGUAAAGCACUUUCAGUGAGGAAGAACGCCUGGUGGUUAAUACCCAUCAGGAAAGACAUAACCAACAGAAGAAGCACCGGCUAACUCCGUGCCAGCAGCCGCGGUAAUACGGAGGGUGCGAGCGUUAAUCGGAAUUACUGGGCGUAAAGCGCGCGUAGGUGGCUUGAUAAGCCGGUUGUGAAAGCCCCGGGCUCAACCUGGGAACGGCAUCCGGAACUGUCAAGCUAGAGUGCAGGAGAGGAAGGUAGAAUUCCCGGUGUAGCGGUGAAAUGCGUAGAGAUCGGGAGGAAUACCAGUGGCGAAGGCGGCCUUCUGGACUGACACUGACACUGAGGUGCGAAAGCGUGGGUAGCAAACAGGAUUAGAUACCCCAGUAGUC